This 1095-nucleotide ribosomal RNA is filed under the name Triticum aestivum (bread wheat). Its description in RNAcentral is "partial small subunit ribosomal RNA". The record is from RNAcentral. Lineage: Eukaryota; Viridiplantae; Streptophyta; Magnoliopsida; Poales; Poaceae.
AUGCGGCAGGUGGCAGAUGCCCUCCGGCACGUCGCCACUGAGGCGGUUGUGACCAAGGUCGAGCUGCUCGAUGCUGUGGAGGUUGGCGAGCUCGGCGGGGAUGGCGCCCAUGAGCUGGUUGUGGCUGACGUCGAGCACGGUGAGGGCGGUGAGCAUGCCGAGCUCCGGGGGGACGCAGGACUUGAGCCCGGUGUUCAUGAGUAUGAUCUCGUUGAGCGUGCCGGACAUGUUGGCGACGGAGGCCGGGAGGCAGCCGCCGAAGUCGUUGUUGGCGAGCACGAGGACAGACGCCGGCGAGUUGCCGACGUUGUCGGGGAUCUGGAAGCGGAAGCGGUUGGAGUUGAUGAAGAUGGCGUCGAGCGGGAGGUCGAAGAGCUCUUUGGGCACGGGGCCCUCGAACUCGUUGUAGCGGAGGUCGAGGUACCUGAGGCUGGGCAGGCGGAGCACGACGUCGGGGAAGGCGCCGACGAGGCGGUUGUUGCUGAGGUCGAGCUCGUGGAGGAGGUGCAUGGCGUGGAAGGAGGCCGGCACGAGGCCGCAGAAGCGGUUGGAGUUGACGUGGAAGACGGAGAGGUCGGCGAGCCUGCCGAGCGCCUCCGGGAGGUGGCCGGCGAGGUCGGCGUGGUUGAGGUCGACGGCGGCGACGACGGUGAGGUAGUGGUCCGCCUGGGACGGCGCGCAGAAGACGCCGUAGUAGGAGCAGACGUCGGGGCCGGACCAGGAGGCGGUGAGGUUGCGCGGGUCGGAGAGGAUGGCGCGCUUCCAGGCCUGCAGCGCGACGUAGGCGUCGCGGAGGCGCGGGUUGGCGAAGGCGUAGGACGGGUCGACCAAGACGUCGCUGCCGUCGUCGGCGCCGUGGCUCUGGAGCAGCCGGCGCUGGUGGCCGGGCGUAGCCGCGGCGAGGUGCGGGACGAGGAGCAGCGCGAGGAAGAGGAGGGUGGUCGCCAUUGCCGUCUGUGUGCGCAUGGUAGCCCGCGGCGGGCUGUGUGUGGUGUGGCGUGGAUGGAUGCUCAUGGGUUUGAGGGGGGGGUGGGUUCAUAUGGGGGAGCAGGGGAGGCCAAAUCGCGGCGCGGGAAUAGAAUAAUGGCGCGUUGA